GACGUUACCUACAGAAGAAGCACCGGCUAACUCCGUGCCAGCAGCCGCGGUAAUACGGAGGGUGCGAGCGUUAAUCGGAAUUACUGGGCGUAAAAGCGCAUGCAGGCGGCCUGUUAAGUCAGAUGUGAAAAGCCCGGGCUUAAACCUCGGAAAUUGCAUUUUGAAAACUGGCAGGCUAGAGUCUUGUAGGAGGGGGUAGAAUUUCAGGUGUAGCGGUGAAAAUGCGUAGAGAUCUGAAGGAAUACCAGUGGCGAAGGCCGGCCCCCUGGACAAAGACUGACGCUCAGAUGCGAAAGCGUGGGGAGCAAACAGGAUUAGAUACCCCUGGUAG
Molecule: ribosomal RNA, 331 nt
Filed under: uncultured bacterium
Lineage: Bacteria
Description: bacterial SSU rRNA
Rfam family: Bacterial small subunit ribosomal RNA
Source: RNAcentral